CUCCUGACUGACCGAUAGUGAACCAGUACCGUGAGGGAAAGGCGAAAAGAACCCCGGCGAGGGGAGUGAAAAAGAACCUGAAACCGUGUACGUACAAGCAGUGGGAGCACCCUUUGGGGUGUGACUGCGUACCUUUUGUAUAAUGGGUCAGCGACUUAUAUUCUGUAGCAAGGUUAACCGAAUAGGGGAGCCGGAGGGAAACCGAGUCUUAAUUGGGCGUUAAGUUGCAGGGUAUAGACCCGAAACCCGGUGAUCUAGCCAUGGGCAGGUUGAAGGUUGGGUAACACUAACUGGAGGACCGAACCGACUAAUGUUGAAAAAUUAGCGGAUGACCUGUGGCUGGGGGUGAAAGGCCAAUCAAACCGGGAGAUAGCUGGUUCUCCCCGAAAGCUAUUUAGGUAGCGCCUCGUGAAUUCAUCUCCGGGGGUAGAGCACUGUUUCGGCUAGGGGGCCAUCCCGGCUUACCAACCCGAUGCAAACUGCGAAUACCGGAGAAUGUUAUCACGGGAGACACACGGCGGGUGCUAACGUCCGUCGUGAAGAGGGAAACAACCCAGACCGCCAGCUAAGGUCCCAAAGUCAUGGUUAAGUGGGAAACGAUGUGGGAAGGCCCAGACAGCCAGGAUGUUGGCUUAGAAGCAGCCAUCAUUUAAAGAAAGCGUAAUAGCUCACUGGUCGAGUCGGCCUGCGCGGAAGAUGUAACGGGGCUAAACCAUGCACCGAAGCUGCGGCAGCGACGCUGAUGCGUUGUUGGGUAGGGGAGCGUUCUGUAAGCCUGUGAAGGUGGCCUGUGAGGGUUGCUGGAGGUAUCAGAAGUGCGAAUGCUGACAUAAGUAACGAUAAAGCGGGUGAAAAGCCCGCUCGCCGGAAGACCAAGGGUUCCUGUCCAACGUUAAUCGGGGCAGGGUGAGUCGACCCCUAAGGCGAGGCCGAAAGGCGUAGUCGAUGGGAAACGGGUUAAUAUUCCCGUACUUGGUGUUACUGCGAAGGGGGGACGGAGAAGGCUAUGUUGGCCGGGCGACGGUUGUCCCGGUUUAAGCGUGUAGGUGUGUGUUCCAGGUAAAUCCGGUUCACUUUAACACUGAGGCGUGA
RNAcentral lists this ribosomal RNA (1092 nucleotides) under Salmonella enterica. RNAcentral describes it as "partial 23S ribosomal RNA". It matches the Rfam family "Bacterial large subunit ribosomal RNA", at positions 473 to 1566 of the family's 2925-position model. Lineage: Bacteria; Pseudomonadati; Pseudomonadota; Gammaproteobacteria; Enterobacterales; Enterobacteriaceae. The record is from RNAcentral.